This 329-nucleotide ribosomal RNA is filed under the name uncultured eukaryote. RNAcentral's name for it is "partial 18S ribosomal RNA". It matches the Rfam family "Eukaryotic small subunit ribosomal RNA", at positions 1470 to 1796 of the family's 1831-position model. The record is from RNAcentral.
CCCUUAGAUGUCCGGGGCCGCACGCGCGCUACACUGAAGGAAUCAGCGUGGCUUUCUCCCUGACCCGAAAGGGUUGGGAAACCCGUUGAAUCUCCUUCGUGAUAGGGAUUGGGGCUUGAAAUUGUUCCCCAUGAACGAGGAAUUCCCAGUAAGCGCGAGUCAUAAGCUCGCGUUGAUUACGUCCCUGCCCUUUGUACACACCGCCCGUCGCUCCUACCGAUUGAGUGGUCCGGUGAGGCUUUGGGAUCUGAGCAAAAAGAGCGUUUCGCUCGUUUGGCUCGGAAAACUCAGUCGAACCUUAUCAUUUAGAGGAAGGAGAAGUCGUAACA